RNAcentral lists this ribosomal RNA (497 nucleotides) under uncultured bacterium. Its description in RNAcentral is "partial 16S ribosomal RNA". It matches the Rfam family "Bacterial small subunit ribosomal RNA", at positions 28 to 507 of the family's 1533-position model. The record is from RNAcentral.
GAUGAACGCUGGCGGCGUGCCUAAUACAUGCAAGUCGAGCGAACAGAUGAGGAGCUUGCUCCUCUGACGUUAGCGGCGGACGGGUGAGUAACACGUGGAUAACCUACCUAUAAGACUGGGAUAACUUCGGGAAACCGGAGCUAAUACCGGAUAAUAUAUUGAACCGCAUGGUUCAAUAGUGAAAGACGGUUUUGCUGUAACUUAUAGAUGGAUCCGCGCCGCAUUAGCUAGUUGGUAAGGUAACGGCUUACCAAGGCAACGAUGCGUAGCCGACCUGAGAGGGUGAUCGGCCACACUGGAACUGAGACACGGACCAGACUCCUACGGGAGGCAGCAGUAGGGAAUCUUCCGCUAUGGGCGAAAGCUUGACGGAGCAACGCCGCGUGAGUGAUGAAGGUCUUCGGAUCGUAAAACUCUGUUAUUAGGGAAGAACAAAUGUGUAAGUAACUAUGCACGUCUUGACGGUACCUAAUCAGAAAGCCACGGCUAACUACGUG